UCCCUGGUAGCUCAGUGGGUAAAGAUUCUGCCUGCUGUGCAGGAGACCUGGGUUCAAUCCCUGGGUUGGGAA
This 72-nucleotide transfer RNA is filed under the name Bos taurus (domestic cattle). It matches the Rfam family "tRNA". From Rfam's summary of the family: Transfer RNA (tRNA) molecules are approximately 80 nucleotides in length. Their secondary structure includes four short double-helical elements and three loops (D, anti-codon, and T loops). Lineage: Eukaryota; Metazoa; Chordata; Mammalia; Artiodactyla; Bovidae. The record is from Rfam by way of RNAcentral. RNAcentral also lists the same sequence under 4 other names.